Molecule: long non-coding RNA, 192 nt
Organism: Rana temporaria (common frog)
Lineage: Eukaryota; Metazoa; Chordata; Amphibia; Anura; Ranidae
Exons: 3
Source: RefSeq, a predicted model, not a curated record
CCAUAGAGGAAGAUCACACCAUCUCUCAACAUUACAAGGGUGACGGUCUGAUAGAUAUAAAAGUUGAUGUUAAAGCAGAAGAGAGGUAUGUGAGGAAUUAUCAGCAGUCUGCAGAGGUGGAUGGAAUAAUUGGGACAUCAAAGAUCAGCAAAGUAGAUGGACGGGAGAUGAGGAAAACCUCAGAGGAUUGUC